AACUAGAAAGGGAAGGGUGGGAGACCUGGCAGGGGUCUGUCGGCCACCAGGGACGGCCGAGGCUGCGUGGCUUCCCUGCCUGCCACAGCCGCAGCCAGGACCAGGGUCCCAGGGCCGGACAGCUGCACCUGUGAGCUGUGCCCCCGAGGGACGCUGUUAGCGGGGGCCUCCUUCCCGGCAAGAGGGUGCGACUUCCAAGUGGUACUUGGACCAACCGUUUCCUGGGCGUCCCCGAGUGGCCACCUGGGGCCGGGGGAGGCUGAGCUCCCGUGCGCGCUGGAGUGGAAGUUCCAGGAGGGCGGACGCUGCCUCGUUCGUCCAGCGCGCAGCGCCCAGCGCCCAGCAAGGUGAACGCACGACUCAAACGCCACGGCGUGGUUUUAUUAAGUGAUGACGCGCAGCUGUGAGGUCGCAGGCACACGGACUCCGGGUAACUCUCAGAACCACAGAAGACCAGGUAUCGCUCAGAUCCUGUCCUGCGUGGGCACCACGGGCCCGCGCCGGCAUCUGCCGCAGGAGUCCGGUCCCCUC
Molecule: non-coding RNA, 531 nt
Organism: Oryctolagus cuniculus (rabbit)
Lineage: Eukaryota; Metazoa; Chordata; Mammalia; Lagomorpha; Leporidae
Source: RefSeq, a predicted model, not a curated record